CGGGAAUGGAUUAGUGGCGAACGGGUGAGGAACACGUGAGAACCUGCCUUUCAUUCUGGGAUAACACCGGGAAACCGGUGCUAAUACCGGAUACUCCGUCUUGGCGGCAUCGCCGAGCCGGGAAAAAAUUUUGAUGAAAGAUGGUCUCGCGGCCUAUUAGCUAGUUGGUGAGGUAACGGCUCACCAAGGCGACGAUGGGUAGCCGGCCUGAGAGGGUGAUCGGCCACACUGGGACUGAGACACGGCCCAGACUCCUACGGGAGGCAGCAGUAGGGAGUAUUGGACAAUGGGCGCAAGCCUGAUCCAGCAAUGCCGCGUGUGUGAAGAAGGCCUGCGGGUUGUAAAGCACUUUCAAUUGGGAAGAAAGAUUUAGAGUUAAUACCUCUUAAUAUUGACGUUACCAAUAGAAGAAGCACCGGCUAACUCUGUGCCAGCAGCCGCGGUAAUACAGAGGGUGCAAGCGUUAUUCGGAAUUAUUGGGCGUAAAGCGAGUGUAGGCGGUUAAUUAAGUCUGAUGUGAAAGCCCCAGGCUUAACUUGGGAAUUGCAUUCGAUACUGUUUGACUAGAGUAUGGUAGAGGAUAGUGGAAUUUCCGGUUAGCGGUGAAAUGCGUAGAGAUCGGAAGGAACAUCAGUGGCGAAGGCGGCUAUCUGGACCAAUACUGACGCUGAGGUGCGAAAGCGUGGGGAGCAAACAGGAUUAGAUACCCUGGUAGUCCAACGCCGUAAACGAUGUCAACUAGCCGUUGGAGGGCUUGUCCCUUUAGUGGCGCAGCUAACGCGAUAAGUUGACCGCCUGGGGAGUACGGCCGCAAGGUUAAAACUCAAAUGAAUUGACGGGGGCCCGCACAAGCGGUGGAGCAUGUGGUUUAAUUCGAUGCAACGCGAAGAACCUUACCAGGUCUUGACAUCCCGAGAAUUUACUAGAGAUAGUUUAGUGCCUUCGGGAACUCGGUGACAGGUGCUGCAUGGCUGUCGUCAGCUCGUGUCGUGAGAUUUGGGUUAAGUCCCGUAACGAGCGCAACCCUUGUCCUUAGUUGCCAGCACGUAAUGGUGGGAACUCUAAGGAGACUGCCGGUGACAAACCGGAGGAAGGUGGGGACGACGUCAAGUCAUCAUGGCCCUUACGACCUGGGCUACACACGUGCUACAAUGGUCGGUACAGAGGGUUGCCAAGCCGCGAGGUGGAGCUAAUCCCAGAAAACCGAUCGUAGUCCGGAUUGGAGUCUGCAACCCACCUCCAUGAAGU
RNAcentral lists this ribosomal RNA (1248 nucleotides) under uncultured prokaryote. Its description in RNAcentral is "partial 16S ribosomal RNA". It matches the Rfam family "Bacterial small subunit ribosomal RNA", at positions 82 to 1326 of the family's 1533-position model. The record is from RNAcentral.